GGCCGGUUAGCUCAGUGGGUUGAGCACGGUGCUGAGAACACCGAGGUCCCGGGUUCAAUUCCCGUUUGGUCC
This 72-nucleotide transfer RNA is filed under the name Apaloderma vittatum (bar-tailed trogon). It matches the Rfam family "tRNA". Rfam says of the family: Transfer RNA (tRNA) molecules are approximately 80 nucleotides in length. Their secondary structure includes four short double-helical elements and three loops (D, anti-codon, and T loops). The record is from Rfam by way of RNAcentral. Lineage: Eukaryota; Metazoa; Chordata; Aves; Trogoniformes; Trogonidae.